Molecule: transfer RNA, 73 nt
Filed under: Trichomalopsis sarcophagae
Lineage: Eukaryota; Metazoa; Arthropoda; Insecta; Hymenoptera; Pteromalidae
Description: tRNA-OTHER
Source: RNAcentral
GUCGAAAUGGCUAAGUGGUCAAGUCGUUCGUUUAUUAGUCAAAAAGUCUCUGGUUCGAGACCAGGUCUCGGCU